RNAcentral lists this long non-coding RNA (344 nucleotides) under Lathyrus oleraceus (garden pea). Its description in RNAcentral is "Pisum sativum (pea) long non-coding RNA (PSAT_LNC001553)". The record is from RNAcentral. Lineage: Eukaryota; Viridiplantae; Streptophyta; Magnoliopsida; Fabales; Fabaceae.
UCCCUAACAAAACCCCUUUGCCUUCAUCCUUAUGGACUUUCCAUGUUUGAGUUUAAAAUUCUUCAAAUCUCCAACUAUGAUCCAUAUCUUAGUUCCAUGCCUUGCUAUUUGAUAACCUUUGUCCAAAAUUUUCAUUUCAAGCCAUCCCAUAUCAGUCCUGUGGUAAACAAGAACAAAACUCCAACAUGAUUACAUCAUAUACACAAUCUACCAAGCUUUGACAGUCAUAUAAACAUAAAUACAAUUGAAUCAUCCAAAUAACCAAAACAUGAACAUAAUUGGCAUAACAUUAGAACCAAAACAUGUGGCAUCCCAAUUAGCAUGGCAUUACAUUUAAACAUCCA